AGGGUGUAAACGCUGCGGGCUUGGUGUUGGGGGUCCUUUGAGGGCGCCCAGUGCCGGAGAGAAGUUGUUAAGCCUGCUGCUUGGGGAGUACGUCCGCAAGGAUGAAACUUAAAGGAAUUGGCGGGGGGAGGCACCGCAACGGGAGGAGCGUGCGGUUCAAUUGGAUUCAACGCCGGACAACUCACCAGGAGCGACGGUUACAUGAAGGCCAGGCUGAUGACCUUGCCUGAUUUUCCGAGAGGAGGUGCAUGGCGUCAGUGACU
RNAcentral lists this ribosomal RNA (263 nucleotides) under uncultured archaeon. RNAcentral's name for it is "partial 16S ribosomal RNA". It matches the Rfam family "Archaeal small subunit ribosomal RNA", at positions 748 to 1008 of the family's 1478-position model. The record is from RNAcentral.